AAUGAACGCUGGCGGCAGGCCUAAAACAUGCAAGUCGAGCGCCCUAGCAAUAGGGAGCGGCGCACGGGUGAGUAACACGUGGGAAUAUGCCUUUUGGUACGGAACAACCUCGGGAAACUGAGGCUAAUACCGUAUGGUCCCUUCGGGGUAAAGAUUUAUCGCCAAAAGAGUAGCCCGCGUUGGAUUAGCUAGUUGGUAAGGUAACGGCUUACCAAGGCGACGAUCCAUAGCUGGUCUGAGAGGACGAUCAGCCACACUGGGACUGAGACACGGCCCAGACUCCUACGGGAGGCAGCAGUUAGGAAUAUUGGACAAUGGGCGCAAGCCUGAUCCAGCCAUGCCGCGUGAGUGAUGAAGGCCUUGGUUGUAAG
Molecule: ribosomal RNA, 371 nt
Filed under: uncultured bacterium
Lineage: Bacteria
Description: bacterial SSU rRNA
Rfam family: Bacterial small subunit ribosomal RNA
Source: RNAcentral